This is an unclassified non-coding RNA of Papio anubis (olive baboon), 148 nucleotides long. It matches the Rfam family "Metazoan signal recognition particle RNA". Rfam says of the family: The signal recognition particle (SRP) is a universally conserved ribonucleoprotein. It is involved in the co-translational targeting of proteins to membranes. The record is from Ensembl. Lineage: Eukaryota; Metazoa; Chordata; Mammalia; Primates; Cercopithecidae.
GCCGGGCAUGGUGGUGCAUGCCUGUAAUCCCGGCUACUUGGGAGGCUGAGGUAGGAGAAUCGCUUGAACCUGGGAGGCAGGGGUUGCAGUGAGCCAAGAUUGUGCCACUGCACUCCAGCCUACGUGACAGAGUGAGACUCUAUCUCAA